RNAcentral lists this ribosomal RNA (1185 nucleotides) under drinking water bacterium OR24. RNAcentral's name for it is "bacterial SSU rRNA". It matches the Rfam family "Bacterial small subunit ribosomal RNA", at positions 102 to 1346 of the family's 1533-position model. The record is from RNAcentral.
ACGGGUGAGUAACACGUGGGAACGUGCCUUUAGGUUCGGAAUAAGCCCGGGAAACUGGGUCUAAUACCGGAUGUGCCCUUCGGGGGAAAGAUUUAUCGCCUUUAGAGCGGCCCGCGUCUGAUUAGCUAGUUGGUGGUGUAAUGGACCACCAAGGCUACGAUCAGUAGCUGGUCUGAGAGGAUGACCAGCCACAUUGGGACUGAGACACGGCCCAAACUCCUACGGGAGGCAGCAGUGGGGAAUCUUGCGCAAUGGGCGAAAGCCUGACGCAGCCAUGCCGCGUGUAUGAUGAAGGUCUUAGGAUUGUAAAAUACUUUCACCGGUGAAGAUAAUGACUGUAGCCGGAGAAGAAGCCCCGGCUAACUUCGUGCCAGCAGCCGCGGUAAUACGAAGGGGGCUAGCGUUGCUCGGAAUUACUGGGCGUAAAGGGAGCGUAGGCGGACAUUUAAGUCAGGGGGGAAAUCCCAGAGCUCAACUCUGGAACUGCCUUUGAUACUGGGUGUCUUGAGUGUGAUAGAGGUAUGUGGAACUCCGAGUGUAGAGGUGAAAUUCGUAGAUAUUCGGGAAGAACACCAGUGGCGAAGGCGACAUACUGGAUCAUUACUGACGCUGAGGCUCGAAAGCGUGGGGAGCAAACAGGAUUAGAUACCCUGGUAGUCCACGCCGUAAACGAUGAUUGCUAGUUGUCGGGGGAUUUAUCUCUCGGUGACGCAGCUAACGCAUUAAGCAAUCCGCCUGGGGAGUACGGUCGCAAGAUUUAAACUCAAAGGAAUUGACGGGGGCCCGCACAAUCGGUGGAGCAUGUGGUUUAAUUCGAAGCAACGCGCAGAACCUUACCCCCUUUUGACAUGCCUGGACCGCGUGAGAGAUCACGCUUUCCCUUCGGGGACUAGGACACAGGUGCUGCAUGGCUGUCGUCAGCUCGUGUCGUGAGAUGUUGGGUUAAGUCCCGCAACGAGCGCAACCCUCGCCAUUAGUUGCCAUCAUUUAGUUGGGAACUCUAAUGGGACUGCCGGUGCUAAGCCGGAGGAAGGUGGGGAUGACGUCAAGUCCUCAUGCCCCUUACAGGGUGGGCUACACACGUGCUACAAUGGCGACUACAGAGGGUUAAUCCUUAAAAGUCGUCUCAGUUCGGAUUGUCCUCUGCAACUCGAGGGCAUGAAGUUGGAAUCGCUAGUAAUCGCG